GUUUACAUUCUAUAAAUGGCAAGUGUUCUCUGUUUGGAAGCUGUUCGCCUCGAAGUUUCAAUUACCGAUUCCAGGCAAGUCGUAAUGGAUGAUAAGUUUAUUAUUUCAGCAAU
This is a long non-coding RNA of Haliotis rubra (blacklip abalone), 113 nucleotides long. RefSeq lists it as uncharacterized. The transcript has 3 exons. The record is from RefSeq and is a predicted model, not a curated record. NCBI's taxonomy places the organism in Eukaryota, Metazoa, Mollusca, Gastropoda, Lepetellida, Haliotidae.